RNAcentral lists this long non-coding RNA (631 nucleotides) under Arabidopsis lyrata. RNAcentral's name for it is "long non-coding RNA (ALYR_LNC001241)". The record is from RNAcentral. Lineage: Eukaryota; Viridiplantae; Streptophyta; Magnoliopsida; Brassicales; Brassicaceae.
AACCACGUUGUGGCUCACCUAAGCGGUGAUUUCGCCUUUGUGGUCUUCGAUAAAUCAACCUCCACUCUGUUUGUAGCUUCUGUAAGUUAUUUUAACCCCCUCAUAAACCCUUUUUAACUGUGAAGUAGAUUGAAUCUAGCGGUAAAAAACCGGUUUUUGAUUUGCUGCAGGACCAAGUUGGCAAGGUUCCAUUGUAUUGGGGAAUAACAGCUGAUGGGUAUGUGGCAUUUGCUGAUGAUGUUGAGUUGCUAAAAGGUGCUUGUGGCAAGUCUCUUGCGUCUUUCCCUCAAGGUUCGUUGUUCAGUUUGUCUGUUCACUCCUAAAUUCAAGAUUUUUCGGAGCAUUACCUGUUCCAUUGAAGCGAUUUUGAUUUUUGAAUGGUUGUGUAUGCGUGGGUUUCAGGCUGUUAUUACUCAACGGCGUUAGGUGGGCUUAGGAGCUUCGAGAACCCUAAGAACAAGAUCACUGCAGUUCCUGCUAAUGAGGAAGAAAUUUGGGGAGCCACCUUUAAGGUAAUUGAUUCUCCAAAAACAAAUCAUAUUAAGUAUAUUCUGUUCAGCAACUUACAACACAAACUUUGGUGGUGGGAACAGGUGGAAGGAGCAACAGUUCUUGCAGAUUGAGGAUUAAA